Molecule: ribosomal RNA, 724 nt
Filed under: uncultured Lachnospiraceae bacterium
Lineage: Bacteria; Bacillati; Bacillota; Clostridia; Lachnospirales; Lachnospiraceae
Description: bacterial SSU rRNA
Rfam family: Bacterial small subunit ribosomal RNA
Source: RNAcentral
GAUGAACGCUGGCGGCGUGCUUAACACAUGCAAGUCGAACGAAGCACCUUGAUUUGAUUCUUCGGAUGAAGAUCUUGGUGACUGAGUGGCGGACGGGUGAGUAACGCGUGGGUAACCUGCCUCAUACAGGGGGAUAACAGUUAGAAACGACUGCUAAUACCGCAUAAGACCACAGCACCGCAUGGUGCAGGGGUAAAAACUCCGGUGGUAUGAGAUGGACCCGCGUCUGAUUAGGUAGUUGGUGGGGUAACGGCCUACCAAGCCGACGAUCAGUAGCCGACCUGAGAGGGUGACCGGCCACAUUGGGACUGAGACACGGCCCAAACUCCUACGGGAGGCAGCAGUGGGGAAUAUUGCACAAUGGGGGAAACCCUGAUGCAGCGACGCCGCGUGAGCGAUGAAGUAUUUCGGUAUGUAAAGCUCUAUCAGCAGGGAAGAAAAUGACGGUACCUGACUAAGAAGCACCGGCUAAAUACGUGCCAGCAGCCGCGGUAAUACGUAUGGUGCAAGCGUUAUCCGGAUUUACUGGGUGUAAAGGGAGCGUAGACGGAGUGGCAAGUCUGAUGUGAAAACCCGGGGCUCAACCCCGGGACUGCAUUGGAAACUGUCAAUCUAGAGUACCGGAGAGGUAAGCGGAAUUCCUAGUGUAGCGGUGAAAUGCGUAGAUAUUAGGAGGAACACCAGUGGCGAAGGCGGCUUACUGGACGGUAACUGACGUUGAGGC